UGCUGCUGGCCAUCUCACGAGCACUGAGGCUAUAGGAAACCUUAGGCCCAGGGCUUAAACAAAAUGUAGGCUCUUUAAUUGCAGCCUGAGGGUCUGCAGUGGAGCCAGGACUUGAAUGCAAGUGUUUCACGUACCGGAGAACCUGGCCACCAUAGCGUCUUUUUUUUUUUUUUUUUUCUGUACGUGUCCUUUAAACUAUUGGUAUCUGUAAUGUAUUAAAUUAUUCAUAGUAUUCAGUUAUAUUCAGUUUCCUUUAAAGGUUGAGGAAGUCAUGAAGAUAAUCCUCUUUCUGCCGUAUGUUUCCCGUGCCCUCUGGUUCCCCGAUCUAUUUCUCUCCCCUUUCCCUGUUCUUCUGUGUCUCCUGUUUUCCAUCUGCGUUUUCCCUCAGCAGCACCCAUUUCCUGUGGGUUUCAUUGCCACCCCCACCCCGACUCCAUCUGUUGCAGAGAUCAGCGAUGAAGUUAACUUGCAAUUACACUCGCAGGGAAUUUCGCCAACAGCCGCCGUGCAUCAAAGCGAACGCCCCGCUGCCAGGAGUGGCAGAGAGGAGAGGUCAUCCCUCUGCCGAGCAGCAGCCACGGGCAGAAAUGCAGCCUUAUGUAAGUCCAGUUCCAGGAUCGGAGCAACAAAUUACAAAAGCAAUUUGAGGUAAACAGCUGCUUCCAUUUUAUGAGGAUUUCUGGUGGAACACUGCCCAUAAGCCUACAGUAUCUUCUGGACUCUCAUGAGGAAAACUUGUGGAACGCAGGCUCUCCUUGGAGAUGCAGAAUGUGGGAAGGUAGCCUGGGCAGAGGCAGUAGACAAUCCCCUUUCCAGCCCAUGUUCCUGAAAUACAGGAACUGAUGUCCCUCAGCACUCAUGAGAUAGAUCUUGCAUUUUAUGUGUUUCAUUUUCUAAAAUACCGUAAUACGAGGGGAAGCAUAGAAAACGUAUUUGCUCCAAGGUAACAGAAAUGUGCUAAUUAGAAAUCCCAGUCAUUACCUACAGGACAGUUCUGUUUUUCAGGGACUGAAAAUAAUACAAGACGUAGCAUAAAAUCCAGGAAAUGGCAGAAUGCAUUCCAAUUCCUCCAGUUUCUGCAAAGGCUUAUUUUUCUUUCCUUUGAAGAGAUCUGAGCAAAAGAGAAAGUCUUCAGGAGUCAUCUGCACUCCCACUGGUGGGCCAGAGGACUUCACCCGUGGGAAGCCCUGCACAGCCACCAAGUGUACUGCUGCACUGUGCCAGUUAUAAGCCACUUAUGUUACAUGCAGGGUGUCUGUGGACGCCAUGCUGAACUUUUGUCUCCUGGGGAGACUCUUUUUUGACGAACAUAACCGACGAAGUACUUACAAAUACGCAGUGGCUGGAAUUUUGUCAUUUUCAGUGGCAAAACAUAUAAAAAUGUGUUCUCAGCAAUCAGACUAUGCCACUGUUAUGGGUCUGUUUCAGUUUGCCUACAGCUGACCCCACACAACAUGGAGUGAAGAAAGGACAUAAAGAAAAUAAUGAGCUUGACAAAAUACAUCCCAACAAGUCGUCCUCAAGCCAUUGCUUAAAGUUCCUUGGGUGUGGAGGCUUGGGAAGACGGCAGUCAAGAAAGAACUUGGGAAUUAUCCAUUCUGAUGGGAAGAGAUGGACAGAGAAAAAGCCAUGCUUUUCCAGGUCCGAAGACAGCCAGUUUGGGUUGCUUUCUACAUGGGAGUUUUUCAUUCCAAUAUGCUUUUUUUUUUUUUUUUACUAGCAAACAAAAACAGAAUAAUAGCUAACUCCUAUUAAAAAAUUACCAGGGGAGUCAAAGCAGUGCUUAUAAUUAAAUUAUUGCUACAACCUUAAUUAGGGCAUGCUGCCAAAUACGUUUGUGAUGAAAAACAAAUCAAUAUAAUGAUGCUUCCCCAUUACCUUUUGUUUAGGGAAUGAAAUGUCACAAAAUAUUUUGCACAUGCUGUGUUGGAGACCAGGCUGUACAGGACUGAUUUACAAGAGAACAUUAAGGGAUUUUGUUUAAAAUUGGUGCAGGCGGGCAGACAACUGCUGGAACCAAAGGUUGGAAAUGAUUUUGUUUUCUAACGGCAGCAAAGGAUGUGGCACUAAUACUUACUACUGUAAAAGUUUCAAAUAUAGUAUAGAACCUGACUAGACUAAACACGGUAUAUCUACGUCCCUUUUUCACCCACAUAGGUGGUGUUUCACCUAACCUGAACCUGCUCUAGGAGACAUUCAAGCCAUGUCUCCUAGCCUCAUGUUGUAAGGUCCUGCAGUUUCAAGGCGAUUUCUGUCCAGAUAUUGGUGGUGGCAGAAGCCCACCUCUGCUGGAGCCCCCAGGCCUGCUGUAGGCUGCCUUUCAUUGGGUCGCAUCCCCAGCAUCUUACUCAGUUUUUCCCUUAUCUGCCAUCAGGCAUGCUUUCACAGGAGUUUAUCCGUGCAAGAGCUGACUAAACACUGAGCAAACAGUUCAGAAUUUGGCUGUCUUUUAUAAAUAAUGAUUCAAAGGUUUGAUUUAGCUACAGAUGAGCCCGAGCCACAAAAACUGCAGCUGGUUCGUAGCGGCAUCAAUUCACGCAGCAGAGACUUCUUUCCCCGACAUGUUUUAUUCCAGCCAGAGCUUGGUCUGAAAGUCCACGCGUAAAGACAAACUGUGAACCAGCAGCAGACAUCAGGGCCCGGGGCGCAGCGCGUACCAAGAUAGCCCGCAGCCACAUGCCAGCUCGCCGCUGACCUUUUAUCUGCAUAAAUAGUCGUGACCUUUGGGCCGCUCAAAUUAGUGCUAGCUGCUUGAGCAGUUAAGUAUCACAACCCCAUCCUGUGCAGGCCAUGCUCCCGUUCCUCUGACUGCCUUUGCUGGCCUCCUUCGGCAUCCUUGGCACCAAAGUGCCGCCAAAAUGACCUGCUGGAGCCAAAAAGGGCCACCAAAACAUCCUGCUGGAGCCUCCAUCUGCCAGCUGAACAGCACAAAGACCAAGGGAAGGGUCUGGCCAUCUGCAUCUGGGCUGCUGCUUCACUGUAGGGUGCUGUGAGCACUCACCCGCACACUUCUUUGAGUAUUAGUUCACUGCGUCCUUUAGGAGAAGUCCUAAAUUAGUUUUAAAAUCAAAAGAAAGAAAUUGUUACCAAAACAGCUACUUUUUCAGUAAGCCACAAAAUGAGUUAUUUUGCGUAAAACCAGUAGUAGUUCACUACACCAUUGAUCUCUUUUUCAAAUGAAAGCCACUUUUUAUUCAGUGGACUGUAAGCUGUGUAGGCUUUAAUGCACAUUAUUUAUCAGUAGACCAGAACUACCAUGCUAUCGCAUGUAAAUAAGCAUUUAGUUCUAGCUCAAAAUGCAGCGUUCGUAACCCCAGCAGUUUUAUUUAUCUAGUUUUUUUAAUAGGUAUUUGCACAGUUUUACAAGCACUUUUUUUUUUCAAAUUGCUUAGAAGAGACCCUUUGGCUGCCUAGAUGGCAACAUUGACUAGGCCUGGAAAAAAAAGAGUGUGAUACUUUUAAAUAUAUAAAGCAUGAAAAAUAUACAAUUUUCAAGGUUCUUUAAGAAGAUGACUGCACAGACCAAUUUCAGAGGAAGUUUACUAUGCCUAAAAUUUGCUCCAAAGCUCUUUUCUUUUGAUUUCCUGUAAGAGGAGCUUUCUUCUCCUCAGCUGUUUCAGCCUUGGGUAGCAGAUUCCAAGAGCAUUUUUCCACUUGAUGUACAUUGUGUGCAUGAUGCUUUAAAAAAUUCCGUCAAGUCCUCCUAUACAUUUUGGAGACUUUUUCAGUUGUAUCAAGGCAAAGUGUCAGGCAAGUAAUGAGAAGGCGCUGAUUGCUUUUACCCAUGCCAGUUUUGGACAGGAAUAGGAAACUCAGAGGGCUGGGAGGUCAACGUGUUUUGCUUGUCUGAUGCCCCAGACUAGCACAAAGCUGCUGAAGCUCAGAAGUACGAUUGCUUGCAAACAUUGACAUCCAACCCUGGUUUUUAUAUCCUUCUUUUGCGUUAUCUCUCAGAGCAAUUCCAACAUUUGAAACUUUUAAGAGCAUUUUUUUUUUGCUGUCAUUUCUUUCUCACUUGUGCUAUCUCGGCCUUGCCUGUCUGUGGCAGUACUGGCAGCAGCGCCAGCCCGAGCCACUCGCGGGUAAAUAAGGAGUCAACCCGCAUGUUUGCAAAGCGUGUUUAACUUGCGUCUUUCAUCUGUGAUUAAUAUUAAAUCUAUUGAGCUACAUAAAUAAGUAAUUCA
This is a long non-coding RNA of Oxyura jamaicensis (ruddy duck), 4184 nucleotides long. RefSeq lists it as uncharacterized. The transcript has 3 exons. The record is from RefSeq and is a predicted model, not a curated record. NCBI's taxonomy places the organism in Eukaryota, Metazoa, Chordata, Aves, Anseriformes, Anatidae.